AAUGUGAAAUAGGUGUUAAGAUUGAAGUAUCUAGAUGAGAUGGUCCCUGUUAGUGAUUGAAAAGCAAAGUCGACGACAAAGCCCUGCAUUUUUGCCGGUUUAUUAUGGAGACAACUCAACCACCUUGGGUAAUAUUUGAUUGAAUUGUGCUUGUGAGGUUUUGAUUCAUACUUCAGUGGAAUUUUUCGUAAUUUUUUUUGAAUUUUUGAUUUCUCGAGAAUGUUGGCUUUGGUCGAGCAACUUUUAGUGUGGAUUAAUAUGAGAAUCUGCUAUAUUAUCAUCCUGAUCGAGCUUCACCACUUGCUUGGAGUAUUGAUCACUAGUUUCCUUGCUCAGCUCUACUGUGCAAAAUACGAAUCUCUGUCACUGCGGCCUUGUUCCAGUUUUGAAGACAUCCUGGAUUGACAAUAACCCGGUAUGAGGUUUUGAAGCUGUCGAAUGUACUUGAGAAAUGAGCGUAAGGGCUGUGGGUAUUAUCGUUGGCAUGAUCCACCAGUUGAAGGGAGAUCGAAAGGUAUAAUACCGGGUUUGCUCAGGAAGCUAUCAUGUCGAUCUCUU
Long non-coding RNA from Daucus carota subsp. sativus, 558 nucleotides. RefSeq lists it as uncharacterized. The record is from RefSeq and is a predicted model, not a curated record. Lineage: Eukaryota; Viridiplantae; Streptophyta; Magnoliopsida; Apiales; Apiaceae. The transcript has 3 exons.